Molecule: ribosomal RNA, 800 nt
Filed under: Psychrobacter fozii
Lineage: Bacteria; Pseudomonadati; Pseudomonadota; Gammaproteobacteria; Moraxellales; Moraxellaceae
Description: bacterial SSU rRNA
Rfam family: Bacterial small subunit ribosomal RNA
Source: RNAcentral
ACCGCAUACGACCUACGGGAGAAAGGGGGCAGUUUACUGCUCUCGCUAUUAGAUGAGCCUAAGUCGGAUUAGCUAGAUGGUGGGGUAAAGGCCUACCAUGGCGACGAUCUGUAGCUGGUCUGAGAGGAUGAUCAGCCACACCGGGACUGAGACACGGCCCGGACUCCUACGGGAGGCAGCAGUGGGGAAUAUUGGACAAUGGGGGAAACCCUGAUCCAGCCAUGCCGCGUGUGUGAAGAAGGCCUUUUGGUUGUAAAGCACUUUAAGCAGUGAAGAAGACUCCGUGGUUAAUACCCACGGACGAUGACAUUAGCUGCAGAAUAAGCACCGGCUAACUCUGUGCCAGCAGCCGCGGUAAUACAGAGGGUGCAAGCGUUAAUCGGAAUUACUGGGCGUAAAGGGAGCGUAGGUGGCUCUAUAAGUCAGAUGUGAAAUCCCCGGGCUUAACCUGGGAACUGCAUCUGAAACUGUAGAGCUAGAGUAUGUGAGAGGGAGGUAGAAUUUCAGGUGUAGCGGUGAAAUGCGUAGAGAUCUGAAGGAAUACCGAUGGCGAAGGCAGCCUCCUGGCAUAAUACUGACACUGAGGCUCGAAAGCGUGGGUAGCAAACAGGAUUAGAUACCCUGGUAGUCCACGCCGUAAACGAUGUCUACUAGUCGUUGGGUCCCUUGAGGACUUAGUGACGCAGCUAACGCAAUAAGUAGACCGCCUGGGGAGUACGGCCGCAAGGUUAAAACUCAAAUGAAUUGACGGGGGCCCGCACAAGCGGUGGAGCAUGUGGUUUAAUUCGAUGCAACGCGAA